Molecule: ribosomal RNA, 425 nt
Filed under: uncultured bacterium
Lineage: Bacteria
Description: partial 16S ribosomal RNA
Rfam family: Bacterial small subunit ribosomal RNA
Source: RNAcentral
GUGGGGAAUAUUGCACAAUGGAGGAAACUCUGAUGCAGCGACGCCGCGUGAGUGAAGAAGUAUUUCGGUAUGUAAAGCUCUAUCAGCAGGGAAGACAGUGACGGUACCUGACUAAGAAGCUCCGGCUAAAUACGUGCCAGCAGCCGCGGUAAUACGUAUGGAGCAAGCGUUAUCCGGAUUUACUGGGUGUAAAGGGAGUGUAGGUGGCAGCACAAGUCAGAAGUGAAAGCCCGGGGCUCAACGCCGGGACUGCUUUUGAAACUGUGCAGCUAGAGUGCAGGAGAGGUGAGUGGAAUUCCUAGUGUAGCGGUGAAAUGCGUAGAUAUUAGGAGGAACACCAGUGGCGAAGGCGGCUCACUGGACUGUAACUGACACUGAGGCUCGAAAGCGUGGGGAGCAAACAGGAUUAGAAACCCGAGUAGUCC